GGGGCUCACACAAGCGGUGGAGCAUGUGGCUUAAUUCGAAGCAACGCGAAGAACCUUAUCCUGGGCUUGACAUGUAUGGAUUAACCCUACGAAAGUAGGGCCACGCCCUCGGGUGGAACAUACACAGGUGCUGCAUGGCUGUCGUCAGCUCGUGCUGUGAAGUGUCGGGUUAAGUCCCUUAACGAGCGCAACCCCUGUCGUUAGUUGCUAGCAGGUAAUGCUGAGGACUCUAACGAGACUGCCGGUGUUAAACCGGACGAAGGUGGGGAUGACGUCAAGUCCGCAUGGCCUUUAUGCCCAGGGCUGCACACGUGCUACAAUGGCAGGUACAGAACGAUGCAAUACCGCGAGGUGGAGCAAAUCGCGAAAGCCUGCCCCAGUUCGGAUUGGAGGCUGCNNCUCGCCUCCAUGAAGUUGGAAUCGCUAGUAAUCGCGGAUC
Molecule: ribosomal RNA, 439 nt
Filed under: uncultured bacterium
Lineage: Bacteria
Description: bacterial SSU rRNA
Rfam family: Bacterial small subunit ribosomal RNA
Source: RNAcentral